This 322-nucleotide ribosomal RNA is filed under the name uncultured eukaryote. RNAcentral describes it as "partial 18S ribosomal RNA". It matches the Rfam family "Eukaryotic small subunit ribosomal RNA", at positions 1470 to 1796 of the family's 1831-position model. The record is from RNAcentral.
CCCUUAGAUGAUCUGGGCCGCACGCGUGCUACACUGAGUAAUUCAAUGGGUAAGGGAACGCUAGAGCAUUACCUAAUCUUGAAAUUUGCUCGUGAUGGGGAUCGACGGUUGCAAUUUUCCGUCGUGAACGAGGAAUACCUUGUAGGCGCAUGUCAUCAUCAUGCGCCGAAUACGUCCCUGCCCUUUGUACACACCGCCCGUCGCUCCUACCGAUUGAGUGAUCCGGUGAGGCUCUGGGACCUGGACGGAAAGAGCGUUUCGCUUGUUCUGUUUGGGAAACUUGGUCGAACCUUAUCAUUUAGAGGAAGGAGAAGUCGUAACA